UAUGAUCUAGUUAUGCAUCUGAAUGCUUCUUGGCCAGCCUGUAAAAUCAACAGAUCAAAAGUAUGAGAAGGAGAGGAGGCAAUUCCAAGCAUAUAAUUGCAUUCCAGAUCUUAGUUAGGUCUCCACCCACAGGUUUGUUGAUCAUGCAAUACCAAGAUUUAACAUGUAAAUUUGUAAAUAAAAAACACAAUCGGGUAGAAAUCAUGCACGUUAUACCGAUCAGGCCAUUAAUCAUAUAUAUUGCCACGGUGUGGCACGAGAAAACAAGGUAGCUACCUCAACAGUUCAACCAAGCCAUUAGCAUAUAUAUCUUUGUGAUAUUGUGAUAUUUUUUUCAUAAUUAUAAAGUAGACACGCGCACGCACCACUACUCACACAUCAUACUAUAUCCACAAAUUCACCCCAAGCACACGCUCAAAUUAAGAGACAUGAUAUUUUAGAUUGAUGUACAUUGGGAAUACAAUUUGGUGGAUUAAUAUUUAUUUAUGGGUAAAUAUAUUACUUUAGGAAUUGAGUGCUAAAGAUGCACUGUAGCAGCCACAUAAAUUUGCAAGCGGGAUUUUAAAAAAUAAUAAUAAUAAAGCUUAUUUUUAAAUCUAAGCCUUCUAAUUGACUACGAUAAUAAAAGGUCAUGGCGUGGUAGAAAAUUAAUAUUGUAGCUAAAAUAUUUAGAUUUGGAAAUAAGUUUUCGGAUGAUUGUUUUUAAAAUGAAAAAAGCGAGCUGGUACACCUUUUACGAAUGGCAGAAGCAUCGGCAUAAUUCGCCAAACCGAAAUAAGUUAUGACUAAAUAAGCCAAAACUCAUCACUAGCUACACGAUUGAAAGGUCAAAUUGGUACUAUGUCCACUUCGAUCGAGAGAGUAUAACAUCACCAAAUCAUGGGCUUUUUAAUAGCGCAAAAACUGUCGCAGGAACCGAACAACAAUAUAUAGAAUUUCAAGCAGAAGAAUAUCGACCGAGGGCUAGCUAGCACGCACUACUGACCGUGUCCCAGAUCUGGAGCUUAGUGUUUUUGCCGUCGACGGCGACGACGCACGCGCCGUACUCGACGCCGGUGGUGAGAUCUUCCACCUCCCGGAACCUCUUGUCCGUGAACUGCAGCAGCAGGCACGAUUUCCCCACGCCUGCAACCAAACGAACCAACACAACACGCGUCUUCCAGUAUGAGCUACCGAUCGAUAACCAAUCGAUUGAGUGUGGAGAUGCGCCCCCGCCGGUGGCGAGUUGAUCGAUCGACACGGAUCGAGCGAAGCUGACCUGCGUCGCCGAUGGUGACAAACUUGAAGCGGUAUGCGUACGUGCACGACAUCCUCGAUCCCAGCUGUGUCGCGUGACAAUCGAGGGAGCUAGCUAGCUAUCACCGGUGUUCUCUUUCUUUUCUCUUUUUCUUGCUUCCGUUUUUGCUUGAACUGCUAGGGUUUAUAGAGAGAUUAAUAUCAGAGCCUUCGACGAAGUGCAAUAGCAGUUGUUGGCGUUGAUUAAUAGGAGUUGGAGACGAUCCCGUCCCGCACAGUGGCCGCCGAACAAAGGCCAGUC
Molecule: small RNA, 1537 nt
Filed under: Oryza sativa Japonica Group (Japanese rice)
Lineage: Eukaryota; Viridiplantae; Streptophyta; Magnoliopsida; Poales; Poaceae
Description: sRNA Os10g0208250
Source: RNAcentral